AACUAUUGUUUGAAUAGUUGAUCACCAUAUUUAGCGGGACACCUGCUUGAAUAUCGCUACUGUCCCGCCAAAAUCGGGACGUCUGGUCACACUAUCAGUAUAGUCCCAGUUCCCAUUCGUGGUUGUUCUCUCUCGACUCUCAGUAACGGGAAAUAAAAGUCGUCUGCGCGUUAAUGUAAAACGAAAAAAGGCUAGGUUAAACGAAGGCUUGAUUAAAUGGUUUACUAAUAAGAAGGCUAAAAAUGAAAAUGCAUUAGAUGAAGAUUUUACACGGAACAUAGACACUCCUUCGUUAUUGUUCAGUCCGAACUCGGUCGAAAUUUUAUCGUAAGUCUCUAAAAACCUAGUUAAAUUUUAGACACUAUAAUCAAACUUUAAAAUAAAAAACCACUGGUAUUUUAAAUCAAACAUCUAUAAAUAUCCGAAAUAGUCCACAUUUUUUCUGUAGUUGGUGAAAAAUUCAAGAUUUUAGUUUAAAAAAUUCGAUUUUAUAGGCAGUUAAAUUUUUUUCAUUUUGCGA
This is a long non-coding RNA of Adelges cooleyi (spruce gall adelgid), 520 nucleotides long. RefSeq lists it as uncharacterized. Lineage: Eukaryota; Metazoa; Arthropoda; Insecta; Hemiptera; Adelgidae. The transcript has 4 exons. The record is from RefSeq and is a predicted model, not a curated record.